Non-coding RNA from Cucumis melo (muskmelon), 129 nucleotides. Lineage: Eukaryota; Viridiplantae; Streptophyta; Magnoliopsida; Cucurbitales; Cucurbitaceae. The record is from Rfam.
AAAAAAGCAGGGCUCUAUUGUCUAUUUAUGAAUAGUGCUCUCGUAAAUGUCAGGGAAACUGAUUGUAUUGUUAUUGGGUGAACCUCUGUGGAACUGAUGGCUGAAGGUUCAGUAAAUGAUGCUACAUUU